CUUAAUUCCUAAUUUUUCAUUUUGAAUUGUUUCCUUCUUAUAGCUGGUUUUGAAAUAAUUUAUUAUAACAUUGAUAAAAGGAGAAGCGAGGUGCCCCUCAAAAAUUUGAUUCCUUUAAAUUGCAUUUUUAAACCCACUAUUUUAAAAUAGAAGCUGUUAGGGCAAAUACAAAAGCAUGAUUUUUUUUUUUUUUAGAAGAAGCAGCAUUAAAAUAUUGCAGCUAGCACGUAAAAGAAAUGAACAAAUAAUUUAUAUAGGAGAAAAUAAACUAGAUGACAAAUACAUGAAGAAAAAAAGCCAUCCCUGUUAGUUUGUAAAGAAAUAAAAAUUAAACAAUAAGGACUUAUCUUAUAUAUACCUCUUUUAUUAGUGUAGAUUGUACAGUAUAAAUAAUAUAUAAUAGUAUAUAAACAUAUAUUUAUACAUAUACUACUAGACAUUAUUAGAUAAAUUAUACAAUAAUAUGGAAAAUAUUUAUGAAUGACUUAAUAAGGCAGAAUACUUAAAUGGAUCUGACUAAACUUUAAAAUGAUAUAGGUACUAAUUAAGUUGAGGCAUGGAAAAAUGAGCACACCUGGUUCAUAAAAGUGAUGGAUUCUUCUUUUAUAUUUCCAUUAUUUGACCAAUAGCUACAUGGCAACAUGGAAAUUCCUUACUCUUUUCAGAAAAGCAAAGUGAGCCUGUACACUCUGAGAUUUAGGAAAUUCUAGGGAUUCUAUGCAAAGUGGAACAUCUGAAGUGAAUACAGAAGCUAAAAGCAAUAUAAUCACCCUGAAGGCUUUUCACUAAGAGAAUUUGGAAAGUUUAGAAAAGAAAGGUUGGGUGCGGUGGCUCACGCCUGUAAUCCCAGCACUUUGGGGGUCCGAGGUGGGCGGAUCACAAGGUGGAAAGAUCAAGACCAUCCUGGCCAACAUGGUGAAACCCCGUCUCUACUAAAAAUACAAAAAUUAGCUGGGCGUGGUGCACGCCUGUAGUCCCAGCUACUCAGGAGGCUGAGGCAGGAGAAUCACUUGAACCCAGGAGGUGGAGGUUGCAGUGAGCCGAGAUCGCGCCACUACACUCUAGCCUGGGCAACAGAGUGGGACUCCGUCUCAAAACAAAAAACAAAAAACAGAGCAAAAAAAAAAAAACAAAAAAAAAAAAAAAAGAAAAGAAAAGAUAACUAUUUUCCCAGGAUGCAGGGGUAAAACCAAGAUUCUCUGUUUUUUACUUUUUAGUGAAUGCUUAUUCUCGGUGUGCAAGGAAAAGUAUGAAAUUUUCACAUCUGUAUAUUUCAAAUCUGCUUAGGCAAAUCAACUUCAACUUGUACUUAAAAAAAUUGUCCAGGACCCCCUAUUGAAAACAAUAUGAAAAGUUUGCCUUUAUAUUUCCCUUUGAGAUCUGUUGUUUAAUCUUUGAAAUGUAUUCUUUAAAAAGUAUGUGCUAGUGUUACUAAAUACAUGACAAAAAGAGAUCUGAAUUUGUGGCCAAAUUAAAAAUAGGACAGAGGAGCUCAAGAUUCAGUCAUUAUAUUUACUUGACAUAUAUUUAUUUACUUGACCUUAGCAGCUUAUUUAUCUUCUUUGCGGAUCAGUUUCUUCAUCUGUGAAAUGAGUUCAAAUCAUCAAGUUCAUAUGAUGAUUAAGCAAAUAAAAUGAAGUAAAUUAUGUUAAACACUGAGCACAAUAUAUGACUGAGAGAAUACCCAAUAACUUGUUAUCUAAA
RNAcentral lists this long non-coding RNA (1704 nucleotides) under Homo sapiens (human). RNAcentral describes it as "HSALNT0139157". Lineage: Eukaryota; Metazoa; Chordata; Mammalia; Primates; Hominidae. The record is from RNAcentral.